Molecule: non-coding RNA, 93 nt
Organism: Tephrocybe rancida
Lineage: Eukaryota; Fungi; Basidiomycota; Agaricomycetes; Agaricales; Lyophyllaceae
Source: the annotation of a GenBank genome assembly
GCAUUAAUGGGGUAGUGGUAACCUGGGUCGUUGCCAUAGAUUGCCUGUCGUAUCCUCAUCGACCCGCCGGGGGUUCGAUUCCCUCUUAAUGCA